GGCACUGUGGAUUAGUCGGUUAAAGUGCCUUUUCAGUAAAAAUGAGUUUCUGGGUUAAAAUUCCACCCGUGCCU
Non-coding RNA from Danionella cerebrum, 74 nucleotides. The record is from the annotation of a GenBank genome assembly. NCBI's taxonomy places the organism in Eukaryota, Metazoa, Chordata, Actinopteri, Cypriniformes, Danionidae.